AACGAACGCUGGCGGCAGGCUUAAUACAUGCAAGUCGAGCGGGCACUUCGGGGUCAGCGGCGCACGGGUGCGUAACGCGUGGGAACAUGCCUUUAGGUACGGAACAACCAAGGGAAACUUUGGCUAAUACCGUAUAAUAUCUCUGGAUCAAAGAUUUAUCGCCUAAAGAUUGGCCCGCGUUAGAUUAGGUAGUUGGUGGGGUAAUGGCCUACCAAGCCGACGAUCGAUAGGGGGUCUGAGAGGAUGAUCCCCCACACUGGAACUGAGACACGGUCCAGACUCCUACGGGAGGCAGCAGUACGGAAUAUUGGACAAUGGGCGGAAGCCUGAUCCAGCCAUGCCGCGUGAGUGAUGAAGGCCUUAGGGUUGUAAAGCUCUUUUAGAUGGGAAGAUAAUGACGGUACCAACAGAAUAAGCCCCGGCUAAAUUCGUG
This 433-nucleotide ribosomal RNA is filed under the name uncultured bacterium. RNAcentral describes it as "partial 16S ribosomal RNA". It matches the Rfam family "Bacterial small subunit ribosomal RNA", at positions 29 to 507 of the family's 1533-position model. The record is from RNAcentral.